Long non-coding RNA from Myotis lucifugus (little brown bat), 854 nucleotides. RefSeq lists it as uncharacterized. The transcript is spliced from 2 exons. Lineage: Eukaryota; Metazoa; Chordata; Mammalia; Chiroptera; Vespertilionidae. The record is from RefSeq and is a predicted model, not a curated record.
UGUGUGUGAAGAUCCUUUAGGUGCGCAGGAGUCCUCCAGGGAGGAAUGGUGGCAGCAGCUCCUGCAUGAGGUCGAUGGCGCUUCUCCCGCUGAUGGGCGAGCCCUACUGUGUGGGACCUUCCCAAGAAGCCGAGCAAGACGGAGGUGCAGCCCUCCCGCAGAAUGAAGCCAACAGACAUGAGACCACACGUUCAAACCUUCAUUUCCUUUUAGAAAAGGACUCAAACCAAAGAGGAAACUAAUUCAGGGCAAAGCCAUGCCAGGAAAAUGUGAAGAAGCAAACAAUGUCUAUGAAUAUACGUGACAGACGCUCCAUGGAGAACGCGCAGCUGGCUAUGACCUUCACUGUGGACGGAGCUGGCUGUGACCUUCGACCUUCACUGUGGGUUGAGCUGGCUGUGACCUUCAACCUUCACUGUGGGUGGAGCCAGCUGUGACCUUCACUGUGGACAGAGCUGGCUGUGACCUUUGACCUUCCCUGUGGAUGGAGCUGGCUGUGACCUUCACUGUGGACGGAGCUGGCUGUGACCUUCACUGUGGACAGAGCUGGCUGUGACCUUCGACCUUCCCUGUGGAUGGAGCUGGCUGUGACCUUCACUGUGGACGGAGCUGGCUGUGACCUUCGACCUUCCCUGUGGACGGAGCUGGCUGUGACCUUCGACCUUCCCUGUGGACGGAGCUGGCUGUGACCUUCCUGCACUGUGGACGGUUGCUUUGUUUUGUUGAAAUUCUGAUAUAGAAACUUUGUGGACCACUUUAUGUUAAACAUAGCUGGACAUAGCUUUAAUUCUGGUUUGAUAAGCAAAUUUGUGUAAAAGAUAUGUCUUACAAGAAUACAAUUUUUGACAACUUCA